RNAcentral lists this ribosomal RNA (497 nucleotides) under uncultured bacterium. Its description in RNAcentral is "partial 16S ribosomal RNA". It matches the Rfam family "Bacterial small subunit ribosomal RNA", at positions 28 to 507 of the family's 1533-position model. The record is from RNAcentral.
GACGAACGCUGGCGGCGUGCCUAAUACAUGCAAGUUGAGCGCUGAAGGUUGGUACUUGUACCGACUGGAUGAGCAGCGAACGGGUGAGUAACGCGUGGGGAAUCUGCCUUUGAGCGGGGGACAACAUUUGGAAACGAAUGCUAAUACCGCAUAAAAACUUUAAACACAAGUUUUAAGUUUGAAAGAUGCAAUUGCAUCACUCAAAGAUGAUCCCGCGUUGUAUUAGCUAGUUGGUGAGGUAAAGGCUCACCAAGGCGAUGAUACAUAGCCGACCUGAGAGGGUGAUCGGCCACAAUGGGACUGAGACACGGCCCAAACUCCUACGGGAGGCAGCAGUAGGGAAUCUUCGGCAAUAGACGAAAGUCUGACCGAGCAACGCCGCGUGAGUGAAGAAGGUUUUCGGAUCGUAAAACUCUGUUGGUAGAGAAGAACGUUGGUGAGAGUGGAAAGCUCAUCAAGUGACGGUAACUACCCAGAAAGGGACGGCUAACUACGUG